Molecule: ribosomal RNA, 429 nt
Filed under: uncultured bacterium
Lineage: Bacteria
Description: bacterial SSU rRNA
Rfam family: Bacterial small subunit ribosomal RNA
Source: RNAcentral
GGGCCCGCACAAGCGGUGGAGCAUGUGGUUUAAUUCGAUGAUACGCGAGGAACCUUACCAGGGCUUAAAUGUAACGGGACAGAUCUAGAGAUAGAUCCUUCUUCGGACUCAUUACAAGGUGCUGCAUGGUUGUCGUCAGCUCGUGCCGUGAGGUGUCAGGUUAAGUCCUAUAACGAGCGCAACCCCCAUCGUUAGUUGCCAACGAGUAAUGUCGGGAACUCUAACGAAACUGCCGGUGCAAACCGUGAGGAAGGUGGGGAUGACGUCAAAUCAUCACGGCCCUUACGUCCUGGGCUACACACGUGCUACAAUGGUCGGUACAGAGAGCAGCCACUACGCGAGUAGGAGCAAAUCUUCAAAGCCGAUCUCAGUUCGGAUUGGAGUCUGCAACUCGACUCUAUGAAGCUGGAAUCGCUAGUAAUCGCGCAU